CUCUUAUUAUGUUGCAUGUAUUGAGUAGUGAUGCCUUUUGUAGUGUUGUAUGUCUUGGGAUUGUAAAUCUAGUAAAAUCCAUCCUAAAGUUCAUAACUGCUAUAUUGAUAGUUGUCUUAUUAUAAGAGAAAGUUCAACCAUACAAGCAUUUAUAUGCAGUAGACACAAAAAAACAGGUCACUUUAUUCAUACACUGAACAAGCGUUUUCAGCGGUCCUCACCGCCGCCAUCGGGUUACAACUUGGGGGAACCAAUAGAGCAUGGAGUGGAAUACAUAGAAUCGGGCUUGAAUUGCAAAUUCAAACUGAAGGAAUUUAGUUUGAAAAAGUAGAG
This 333-nucleotide long non-coding RNA is filed under the name Androctonus crassicauda. The record is from RNAcentral. Lineage: Eukaryota; Metazoa; Arthropoda; Arachnida; Scorpiones; Buthidae.